Non-coding RNA from Ceratotherium simum simum (southern white rhinoceros), 90 nucleotides. The record is from RefSeq and is a predicted model, not a curated record. NCBI's taxonomy places the organism in Eukaryota, Metazoa, Chordata, Mammalia, Perissodactyla, Rhinocerotidae.
GAAGCUUCCUUCCAUCAGGGUGGGGAGAAGGGCUCUGGCCAGCACGCAGGAGAAGGAGGGCCCAGUGAGGACUCCAGCCUGGACCCCCAG